GAUUCUGCUUGUGUACCGGCUACCCUGCUGCACAGCAGUCUCUCUGCCUAAGCUAGCAAGAGUGGUCUCUGGCCUGGCAUUGGAGUCUCAGCGGCUAAUAGUGCUGAGGGACUUCAACGUCCAUGCAGAGUCACCUGUAUCUGUAGCAGCUCAGGACUUCAUGGCUGCCAUGACAACCAUGGGGCUGCCCCAAGUGAUAUCUAGGACCACUCAUAUAGCAGGACACACCCUGGACCUAGUCUUCAUUGUGGAUGCAUGCCCCAUCCCUGUCCUGGUUUGGUAUCCCAAUUUCCUAGGGCCUUGACAAUAAUCCCAUUAAAUGUGGGGCUAUUCCAUAUCUAGGUUGACUGUCUUGUAGCAGUUCUUCCACAUCUGGUCUGGAGUGGGGAGACAGUCCUGUUAUCAUACAAUAGUGCUCACAUGCACCAUUAUCCAGUUUGGAAGUGGCUUAAAGCAAACCGAUUUCGCUAUGUUGCAUCUAUACAAAUACCCCAGGAAUUGGUUCAAGCUGGAACAGUGGACACAGUACCCACUAAUUGCAGAUUCAGACCCAAGAACUACAGUAUCUGUAGCUAGACAACCUCUGGAAAAUACAAGUUUUUUUUUUAACCAAUAUGCUGAGAUGUACUGAUGUUUUGCCAAUGAUUAGAGUAUAUCCUGGUUUCGAACCCUACAUGGGCUAUACUCUGAUCGGCUACAGCACAUUAUUUGGCUUGUUCUGGACUUUCUGUGCCUCCCAGCACUGUUUCUGGCUUGAGAGUUUUAUGUGCUGCAGCAUGUAUUGAAAGUGUACAUUUUGUGGACACCUUGCCCUCGAGCUGGCUCAAAAUUGCGUUAUAGUGCCUGUGUAGAGCCACCCAUUGUACAAGGGAAACAACAGAGUUGUGAAGGCACGCUGGGGGAAAAUGGCUAUCUCUAGGUCUGGCUACCCAAGCAGCUUCGGUUUACCUUAUAAUUAUACCUCAAACCCCAAAGUAAAUACUCUAGAAGCUGAUUAAAGAUAACCAAAAAUAUUGUUUAUUGAAAACAGGAAACAGUCCUUUUAAUGUAUUAGAAAUAAUAUGAGGUAAAAUCACUGAAAUUAUACAGAAAUAAAACUAUAUUGAUUGAGAAUGAAAGCUAUAGAGACUAUAAAGGAUAAACACACAAGCUAUGAGGAAACUAUAAGGUAAGGACUAUAGGGUAUGUACAAGGCUAUGAUAAGCACUAUCUAUAAUGACUUUAGUGGUAAAUACCAGCUAUAGUGAACUAUCUAUAAUAACUCUGAGGUAAACUAUAAGGUGAUAAGCUAUAAGGUAAGUACAUAAGGUAAGUACAAGGCUAUGAGGUAAGCUAUGAGGCUAUGAGGUAAACUGUAAGGUAAGUACAUGGCUAUGAGGUAAACUGUAAGGUAAGUACAAGGCUAUGAGGUAAAUACCUAAAGCUAUGAUGUGACUAUAAGGUAAGUACAAGGCUAUGAGGUAAGCUAUGAGGCUGAGGUAAACUGUAAAGUAAGCACAUAAAGCUAUGGUGGUAAGUACAAGGUGAACUAUAAGCUUUGCUAUCUUUGAGGUAAAUACUUUACUAUGAGGUAUACUAUCUAAGCUAUAGGUAAGUACAAGGCUAUGAGGUAAACUGUAAGGUAAGUACGUGAUUUAUGUUGCCUGUUUGAAUUUGCCAGGUCAAAGAACCCAGACCAAAUUCUAAGACCUAUCUCUAAGAGGUUUUUCUCUGGAAUUGCAAUUGGAGGGAAAAAAGCCUCUAGAGAUUAGCUCCCAGGCUGAACCAUCUCAUCCAAACCUAAAGGGGAGUCCCAAGCUCCACCCCCAAAAUGAGAGCCAAUGGAACAUUCCUCCCAAGAACAGCAACCAGGAAAUAAGCAAGGGAGGGAAAGCCAAGUAGGACAGCACAAGAGUGUUGGCUACAAGUUAUCUCCCACUUCAAAUAGUCUGGUUUGUUUUAGCAACAAGCCUCCUAAAUUACAAAUGUUGUUGCUCAAUAUGAGGUGAGUGCAUGAAACAACAUGAUUGGUCCCAUACUUUAUCAUAAUUCAUCCUGUACUUUCAGAUUAGUGAAAUGAAGAUAAGCAGGCAGAUUGCCAGAGUGUGUAGAUACUGAUAAGGAAGAUAACUCUGUGUCUAAAACAGUGGUUCUCAACCUGUGGGUCCCCAGGUGUUUUGGCCUACAAAUCCCAGAAACUUCAACCAGUUUACCAGCUGUUAGGAUUUCUGGGGAUUGAAGGCCAAAACAUCUGGGGACCCAUAGGUUGAGAACCACUGGUCUAAAGACUUGGAGACUUAAACAGUUGGGGCCCAGCUCCACAGCAGGAACUGGCAAAUGCUGAAGACGCAUCCCAUUAUUUGCAAAGUGACAUUUUAAGCUAUUAAGCAAGAAAUACUGACCUAAUUAUACACCUGAGUAAUGACAAUGAAUCUCCCAACUACUCCAUGAUUGCCUUGUUGAUUUCAACCCUCCUCUUUGAAGAUUCACAAUACUUCUACAAAUCCCUCUUGUUUUCUUGACUUUUAAUUGGCACAAUUUACAGCUCAGAUUUGCUUUUUGCUGACUUUCCUUAUCUGGACCACUGUCUUCUGGAUGACUUCUGGAUCAGAUGACAAUUGUAACGGAAAAGCUAAAUAUAAUGGAGUUUUUGUGUAUGUUUAUUAGUGCUGAUAUUAUGGCAAGGACAGGCAUAAUAUCUGAUUGGUUACAUCUGAUUGGUCAAUGUGUCACCAUGGUUACGUAGCCUUUGCAGUAGAAAUGUAUCCAUUUUAGAGUAGCUAGCAAGAAAAGGGGUGGAAAUAGCUAAGAGAAAAAGAAGGAACAUUAAAAAAAUUAUUCAGUCUCUAGCCCGGGAGCUAGAGGGAAGAUGUUCCUUGUUUAAGACUGUUCCCUCAGUUGUAGUACUGAAGUAAAAAGGAACUACAGUAGAGUCUCACUUAUCCAAGCUAAACAGGCUGGCAGAAGCUUGGAUAAGCGAAUAUCUUGGAUAAUAAGGAGGGAAUAAGGAAAAGCCUAUUAAACAUCAAAUUAGGUUAUGAUUUUACAAAUUAAGCACCAAAACAUCAUGUUAUACAACAAAUUUGACAGAAAAAGUAGUUGAAUACGCAGUAAUGUUAUGUUGUAAUUACUGUAUUUACUAAUUAAGCACCAAAAUAUCACGAUAUAUUGAAAACAUUGACUACAAAAAUGGCUUGGAUAAUCCAGAAACUUGGAUAAGCGAGGCUUGGAUAAGUGAGACUGUACUGUACUUUGAAUGAGUCUCUAGCCAGGGAGCUAGAGGGAAGAGGACUUUUGCUUAAGUUUGUAGCUUCCAUUUUUAUAUUGAACUAAAAAGAGACUAAUUUUUAGUCUAAGUCCUCAGUCAGGUUAAACUGAGACAGAGUGUCCUUUGGGACUAAGUUUUAGUCAGGUUAUCAAUGUUAAAGAGUGACCAAAAGAUAGAAAUUAUCCAGCCAGAAGGCUUAGGAAAAAUAUACAUUUGAAAUAGAAGAAAGUUGCUUAAACAAGCUGAAAUAAGUUAAACUGUUCUGGAAGUUAUAUAGUAACAGUUUUAUGUAUUCAAAAAGUGAAAGACAAUUGCAAUGAUAUCCAAGUGGAACUGAAGUAAAGUACUUCGUAACUUCUUUAUGUGCAAAAGAAUUCAUAAAUAAACAUGUCUUUGUUACAACUUA
Anolis carolinensis (green anole) is the source of this 3653-nucleotide long non-coding RNA. RefSeq lists it as uncharacterized. The record is from RefSeq and is a predicted model, not a curated record. The transcript is spliced from 2 exons. NCBI's taxonomy places the organism in Eukaryota, Metazoa, Chordata, Lepidosauria, Squamata, Anolidae.